This 775-nucleotide ribosomal RNA is filed under the name uncultured Neocallimastigales. RNAcentral's name for it is "partial large subunit ribosomal RNA". It matches the Rfam family "Eukaryotic large subunit ribosomal RNA", at positions 24 to 642 of the family's 3401-position model. Lineage: Eukaryota; Fungi; Neocallimastigomycota; Neocallimastigomycetes; Neocallimastigales. The record is from RNAcentral.
UAUCUCUGUAGAGUCUGCAUAUCAAUAAGCGGAGGAAAAGAAACUGACAAGGAUUCCCCUAGUAACGGCGAGUGAAGCGGGAAGAGCUCAAAUUUGAAAUCUCAAGGUUCUACCUUGACGAAUUGUAGUUUAAAGAAGUGUUUUCUGUUAGAUGAGUAGUAAAAGUUCCUUGGAAUAGGGACAUCAUAGAGGGUGAGAAUCCCGUAUUUGACUAUUCAUUUCUAGCUUUGUGAUACACUUUCAAAGAGUCGGAUUGUUUGGGAAUGCAGUCCAAAAUGGGUGGUAAAUUUCAUCUAAAGCUAAAUAUUGGCGAGAGACCGAUAGCGAACAAGUACCGUGAGGGAAAGAUGAAAAGAACUUUGAAAAGAGAGUUAAACAGUACGUGAAAUUGUCAAAAGGGAAGCGUUUGACACCAGUGUUGUUUUUCCGAAAAUCAAUUAAAAAUUGAUUCAUGCCAGGUUGUAUUGACCUUAUCAGCUUGCAAUUUGGUUUUGGGUCUCUUUUUGAUGCACUUUUCGGUUAACAAGUCAACAUCAAUUUCCUUUGCUGUAAAAAGGUAAGAGGAAGGUGGCUUCAAUUUCGGUUGAAGUGUUUAUAGCCUUUUAUCUCUGCAGUCGGGGAGAUUGAGGUCUGCAGCGUAGAUCCUUCGGGGCUAGAUACAUUUAUGCUAAGUUAUAGCUUUUCAUAGACAACUUGUUGACUAUGUUUAGUCAUGUAGCUUACUCGUAAGUGCUAUUUUACCUACGCUUAGGAUGUUGAAGACUCUACAGAGAUA